RNAcentral lists this ribosomal RNA (439 nucleotides) under uncultured bacterium. RNAcentral's name for it is "partial 16S ribosomal RNA". It matches the Rfam family "Bacterial small subunit ribosomal RNA", at positions 339 to 795 of the family's 1533-position model. The record is from RNAcentral.
CUACGGGCGGCUCCAGUGGGGAAUAUUGCACAAUGGAGGAAACUCUGAUGCAGCAACGCCGCGUGGAGGAUGACACUUUUCGGAGCGUAAACUCCUUUUAUAUAGGAAGAAGAUGACGGUACUAUAUGAAUAAGCGCCGGCUAACUCCGUGCCAGCAGCCGCGGUAAUACGGAGGGCGCAAGCGUUACUCGGAAUCACUGGGCGUAAAGGGCGUGUAGGCGGAUUAAAAAGUCAGAAGUGAAAUCCUAUAGCUUAACUAUAGAACUGCUUCUGAAACUCUUAAUCUAGAAUAUGGGAGAGGUAGACGGAAUUUCUGGUGUAGGGGUAAUAUCCGUAGAGAUCAGAAGGAAUACCGAUUGCGAAGGCGAUCUACUAGAACAUUAUUGACGCUGAGACGCGAAAGCGUGGGGAGCAAACAGGAUUAGAUACCCCUGUAGUC